UCUGUGACAUCAUCCGAUCCAGUCCGCACGUGCUUCAGGUGGGAGGAGCUUAGAGUCACCGAAGCGCGCGACAGGUUCGCACCAGCAGGGGCUGCGUUUUUCUGGGCGUCCGAGCAGGAAAACCAGCGGAAAAACUUCCAAGACUGACGGCGAGUCGUCCUGUGGUGGAUGUGGGUGAACUCUGGAAGCUGCCACAGGAUAUUUGCCAUAAGAGGGAAGAGUGAGGACCGCGGGAGAGAAACUGUAGCUGUUGUAUUUGAGCGGGGUUCAUCGCACGUGCUACUGCUCGCGCCCUUCCCGUGCCGCCGACGCGCCAUCUUUCCAUUUGCUCCUCCCCCCAUCGCCAUCUCUGACUGUGAGGACUCUCUAAUUGUAGACUUGGCUGCUCCCCUUCGCUGUAAUUGGCGAAACCGCUGACACCCUGAACAACUGGACUCAUGACGCUUCAAUCCAAGCAGCAGGACACGAGCGGCUGGAAAAAAAAAAUGAAAAGGAAAGAGGAGAAAGUUUAAACCCACCUGGCUUAUAAAGCCAUGGAACAGUCCAGUUAGAGAUGAAGACGGAGGAGGAAACUUGGCUUCGGCGCUACGUUGGAAAAUCCUCCCGGUGCCUCCUUAAGUCCACUGGAAUCACUGGCCCCAGGCAGAGGAGGCGACGUGCAGAUGAUCUGGGAUUAAAGGAGUGAAUCACUGUUGGGGAGAAAGUAUUCAUCCAUUUGUUGAAUCGGACCACGUUGUGUCGGAGAGAUCGCUGUGAUUGGCUGAGAAGAGAAACAGGAAGUAAAGAAAGUACAAAGGACACAAAGAAGAGGAAGAAGAUCUUUGUCUGAAAAUUCAAAGACACAAAUAUUUCCUUCUAGAAUGAAUAAAGUUUAAA
Long non-coding RNA from Mugil cephalus (flathead mullet), 876 nucleotides. RefSeq lists it as uncharacterized. Lineage: Eukaryota; Metazoa; Chordata; Actinopteri; Mugiliformes; Mugilidae. The record is from RefSeq and is a predicted model, not a curated record. The transcript is spliced from 5 exons.